Molecule: RNA transcript, 13007 nt
Organism: Loxodonta africana (African savanna elephant)
Lineage: Eukaryota; Metazoa; Chordata; Mammalia; Proboscidea; Elephantidae
Gene: DNAJC10
Gene name: DnaJ heat shock protein family (Hsp40) member C10
Exons: 24
Source: RefSeq, a predicted model, not a curated record
ACCGGCGCGCUAGGAGCCAGCGGGACCUCGCCGUACGCUCGUCGCUGCGCUGCCUGUGCGGCUUGUCCUCCCACAUCCCGAGCGCAGCGGCCCACCGGCCGAGAGUACGUGCUUCUCUCCCGCACGCAGUACCUGGGCUCGGCCGGGCAGGGCCCACCGCCUUGGAUUGAGGAUGGGGGAGUAGCUGCAGGAGGCGACCCUGCAACACCAAGAUUAAUGUUUUUGGAGACAGUUUUGUGAUGUUUGAUUCACCCUUGGAGUAAUGAGAACAGAAGUGCUCAAACUUGCAUACUCUGUCAACUGGAACCAGCAGUGUGUCUUAAUAUUCACUUAAAUCAGAACUUGUAUAAGAAGAAGAAUGGGUGUCUGGUUAAAUAAAGGUGACUGUGUCGGAGACUUGAAAAAGAUCGUUCUCUGUUUUUUAAUAGUGUACAUGGCCAUUUUAGUGGGCACAGAUCAAGAUUUUUACAGUUUACUAGGAGUAUCCAAAACUGCAAGCAGUAGAGAAAUAAGACAAGCUUUCAAAAAGUUGGCAUUAAAGUUACAUCCUGAUAAAAACCCGAAUAAUCCAAGUGCACAUGGUGAUUUUUUAAAAAUAAAUAGAGCAUAUGAAGUACUCAAAGAUGAAGAUUUACGGAAAAAAUAUGACAAAUAUGGAGAAAAAGGACUUGCAGAUAAUCAACAAGGAGGCCAGUAUGAAAGCUGGAACUAUUAUCGUUACGAUUUUGGUAUUUAUGAUGAUGAUCCUGAAAUCAUAACGCUGGAUAGAAGAGAAUUUGAUGCUGCUGUUAAUUCUGGAGAACUGUGGUUUGUAAAUUUUUACUCCCCAGGAUGUUCACACUGCCAUGAUUUAGCUCCCACAUGGAGAGAGUUUGCUAAAGAAGUGGAUGGAUUACUUCGAAUUGGAGCUGUUAACUGUGGUGAUGAUAGAAUGCUUUGCCGAAUGAAAGGAGUCAACAGUUAUCCCAGCCUCUUAAUUUUUAGACCUGGAAUGGCUGCAGUGAAGUAUCAUGGUGACAGAUCAAAGGAGGACUUGGUGAGUUUUGCCAUGCAGCAUGUUAGAAGCACGGUGACAGAAUUAUGGACAGGAAAUUUUGUUAAUGCCAUAGAAACUGCUUUUGCUGCUGGUAUUGGCUGGCUGAUCACUUUUUGUUCCAAAGGAGGAGAUUGUUUGACUUCUCAGACAAGACUCAGGCUUAGUGGCAUGUUGGAUGGUCUUGUUAAUGUAGGAUGGAUGGACUGUGCCACCCAGGACAACCUUUGUAAAAGUUUGGAUAUUACCACAAGUACUACGGCCUAUUUUCCUCCUGGAGCCACUUUAAAUAACAAAGAGCAAAGUGGUGUUUUGUUUCUUAAUUCGUUGGAUGCCAAAGAAAUAUAUUUGGAAGUAAUGAAUAAUCUUCCAGAUUUUGAACUACUUUCGGCAAACACACUAGAGGAUCGUUUGGCUCAUCAUAGGUGGCUCUUAUUUUUUCAUUUUGGAAAAAACCAAAAUUCAGAUGAUCCUGAGUUGAAGAAACUGAGAACUCUACUUAAAAAUGAACACAUUCAAGUUGGCAGAUUCGACUGCUUGUCUGCACCAGACAUCUGUAGUAAUCUCUAUGUUUUCCAGCCCUGUCUAGCAGUAUUUAAAGGACAAGGAACCAGAGAAUAUGAAAUCCAUCAUGGAAAGAAGAUUCUAUAUGAUAUACUUGCAUUUGCCAAAGAAAGUGUUAAUUCUCAUGUUACCACACUUGGACCUCAAAACUUUCCUUCUAGUGACAAAGAACCAUGGCUUGUUGAUUUUUUUGCACCUUGGUGUCCUCCAUGUCGAGCAUUAUUGCCAGAGUUACGGAAAGCUUCAAAGCAUCUUUAUGGUCAGCUUAAAUUUGGUACACUAGAUUGUACAGUUCAUGAGGGACUCUGUAACAUGUAUAACAUUCAGGCUUAUCCAACAACAGUGGUAUUUAACCAAUCCAACAUUCAUGAAUAUGAAGGACAUCAUUCUGCUGAACAGAUCUUGGAGUUCAUAGAGGAUUUGAUGAAUCCUUCAGUGGUCUCCCUUACACCCACCACUUUCAACGAACUAGUUAAGCAAAGAAAACAUGAUGAAGUCUGGAUGGUUGAUUUCUAUUCUCCAUGGUGUCAUCCGUGUCAAAUGUUAAUGCCAGAAUGGAGAAGAAUGGCCCGAUCAUUAACUGGACUGAUCAAUGUCGGCAGUGUAGACUGCCAACAGUAUCAUUCUUUUUGUGCCCAAGAAAAUGUUCAGAGAUACCCUGAGAUAAGAUUUUUUCCCCAAAAAUCAAAUAAAGCUUAUGAAUAUCAUAGCUACAAUGGUUGGAAUAGGGAUGCAUAUUCCCUAAGAAUCUGGGGUCUAGGAUUUUUACCUCAAGCCUCGAUAGAUCUAACACCUCAGACUUUCAGUGAAAAAGUUUUAGAAGGGAAAAAUCACUGGGUCGUUGAUUUCUAUGCUCCAUGGUGUGGACCUUGCCAAAAUUUUGCUCCAGAGUUUGAACUCUUGGCUAGGAUGAUUCAGGGAAAAGUGAAAGCUGGAAGAGUAGACUGCCAGGCUUAUGCUCAGACAUGCCAGAAAGCUGGUAUCCGAGCCUAUCCGACUGUUAAAUUUUAUCCUUAUGAAAGAGCAAAGAGAAAUAUUUGGGGAGAGCAAAUAGAUGUUAGAGAUGCAAAAGAGAUUGCUGCCUUAAUAUAUAAAAAAUUGGAAACUCUCCGAAAUGAAGAAAAGAGAAAUAAGGAUGAACUUUGAUGAUGUUGAAGAUGAAGAAACUUGAAAGAAAAAGAAAUUCUGACAAGUGACAUCAGAAGGCACCUUUUUUAUUCAUGGUGGGAAUGAACAUUAUCUGGGACUUAAAAUUGCACUGCCUGACUUCUGUACAACAUUGGUAUAAAUCAGGAGUAUGCAAACUUUUUCUGUAAAGACCCAACUCCAUAUACUCAUUAUCCACAUGUCUGGGAUUCCACUUUAUACACAUGAGCACAUAUGAAAUAGUCACCACUUCUAACCUUAAUUUAAUACCUUUUUGAAUUAUGUUCAGUUUAUGGCAGGUGCCUUUCAUUUAUUAGACUAGAAUUUUUUUUUUAGUUGGCUUGUUUCUACAGAAAUCCCAGAUGGAAUGUUAAAGAAGCCUUACUUGAUAUUUCCUGAAUGUAACGUUCCAGUUAUGUGUAUACCAUCGUGCUGAACACAGAGGAGUGUGCAAAAGUAGCUUAAAUUACGGUCCCUGUCUCUCGAGUGUCUGUAAUUCACGGUUCUGAUACAGAUCUCAAAGGAAGUUUUUAAGGACUUCUGUCACUGUUGUUGAGUUGCUGUCGAGCCAGUUCUGUCUCGUGGUGACCCCGCGUGCGUCAGAGCCAGUUCUGUCUCGUGGUGACCCCGCGUGCGUCAGAGCCAGUUCUGUCUCGUGGUGACCCCGCGUACGUCAGAGCCAGUUCUGUCUCGUGGUGACCCCGCGUGCGUCAGAGCCAGUUCUGUCUCGUGGUGACCCCGCGUGCGUCAGAGCCAGUUCUGUCUCGUGGUGACCCCGUGUGCGUCAGGGUAGGGCUGUGCUUCACGGGGUUUCCACUGGCUGGUCUUCUGGAGGAUCACCAGGCCUUUCUUCUGAGUCACCUCUGAGUGGACUUGAACUUCCAGUCUUUUGGUGAGCAGCCAAACACCUUAACCAUUUCUACCACCCGUGGACUCCGCUUGUAUUACUACCCAUAAAAUAUAUUUCCUACACUUAUUAGUUGGGAAACUUGUUAAGUAAUAAAUAGUAAACAUUAUGACACCUGUAACUGGUAACUUGGCCUAAGUUAUAUGCCUUGGAAUCAACCCUAAAGCCAGGGCCACCUGGGAGUCAUGUAAGUAAUAUGUACCAUAUAAGUAAUAUACAUCAAGAGACUAUCUUCUACACUUACAGAAGUGUCGCUGGGUAUUUAAAAAAACAGGUGGCAGAAUUAGAGGUUUUAACGGAUAGAUCAGUGCAAUAGAGGAGCCCUGAUUGUGCACUGGUUAAGAGCUUGGCUGCUAACCAAAGGAUUGGCAGUUCGAAUCCACCAGCCGCUCCUUCAAAACCCUGUGGGGUUCUGCUCUGUUCUGUAGGGUUGCUAUGAGUGGGAAUCGACUCGAUGGCAACAGGCAAGAAGUGCCAGGUGAAACAUACCAUUUGUGUCGGCAACACCACUUUGGUGUGCUGCUGGCUUUGGUAAUGUGGCACCAGUUCCAGCAGGCCAGAGUCUGUUCUAUCAGGCAGCCAGCCUUGAAAAUUAGGUAUAAUUCAUUUUGUUGGUGUGUUUCAUAAAAAUAUAGGAAAGCCUGCAUAAAUUCCUUUCCCAUAUUUAGAAUCAUAUUCCAUGAUAGAGGCCAUAUCUCUUAUUCUCUGCUGGGUUCUCAGAACCUAGCACAUUGUUCAGCUCAUAGGUACAGAGUGUACAUAACAAAUAACCACAAGUGUUCUUCUAUAUUGUUGUAUUUGUAAGUAUUAUACUGUUAAGCUGCCAGCAAUUCAUUUGUGAUAAGAAUUGUUGCCUAGAAAUUAUAAUUUCAUUAUUUUAUGACUUCUAGAUUGUAGCUGGUCUCUGUUUUAAUUGGCAGCCCUUGUAACGCUUAGGGAUAUUACAGUUACUUUUUUAGAAGUUGGCAAUUUUUAUCAUGUAACUUAAGGUGGCUUUACCUAUCAAGGUGGUACAUAUUCCUUGGAAAGGAGCUACCCCAAAGAAUUUCUGUGAUGUCAUAAUUUGUUUUUCUAUAUAUAAGAGCCCUGGUGACACAGUGGUUAAGAGGUUGGGUGCUAACCAAAGAUCAGCAGUUCAGAUCCACCAGCUACUCCCUCGAAACCCUAUAGGGCAGUUCUACUCUGUCCUGUAGGGUCGCCCUGAGUCAAAAUGAACUUGAUGGCAGUGGGUUUGGCUUUGGUUUGGUAUGAUAGGCUUCCCUGGAGGAUUUUAUUCAGAAACAUUAGGCACCAGUAGAUGGCAGUGACAAAUAAGCAGAGACAUAGAAGGUAAUUCAUUAUUCUUAGAAAAUGCUGUGGUUAGUUUCUACCUCAUUACUGAACCAGAGUUCACUCAGCCUGAAUUUGCCUUUGUUUUGGCACUAGUAAGAUCCCGACUAUCACUCAUAUACAUUUGAUUCUGAGAAGGUGCAAAGAAAGUAAACUGUAUUUUGCAUGCAGAAGUUUAUGAUCUAGUGUAACAAGUAAAAUAGACAGAAAUAUAUAAGCAUGUGAAUAAUACUAAGAAUAAAUUCAGGAAACUCAUAUAGGUACAUGUAAAGAUAAUGAGUUUCAGCAGACUCCCCUUCAUGAAGAAUGGUGCCUAGGAAAUAUUUACAAAUCACUUUUAAGAAAUCAUAAAACAUUUAUCAAAUUUUACGGAACAUAGUUUUGUUUUGUUUUUUAAUUCAAAUGUCUCUUCAGGACAUUUUGGUGCUUUUAGUUCUGCUUUCAUUUAUGAAGUACGAGACCCAGCCUCUCAUGUCUAUGGAAUGGGUUUCCUGAAUUCUAAUCCUAGUUCAGCUAUUUAGUAGCUCUGAGUUUGGACAGAUUGUUUACUUCCUCUCUCUGUACCCUAACUUGCUAUGUGGAAAAACUCUCUCUUCUACUUAACCUCAUAGGGUAGAUAUGUAGAUAAAGUGAGAUAAUGUGUUGGGGUUUUUUAAUCGUGCAAAAACAUAUACAGACAACAAAAAUUAAAAAUGUGGGAAAUUUUGUAAGGUAAAUGACAUCAUUCCUUCAGUGAAGUAAUAGCCAGAAAAAAAAUGGAGGGAAAAGUAACCUGUAGAUUAAAACAGGCUGUAAAUAGAGAAAAGCUUUUGAAUCCUGUCAGCCAAAUGCGAUGUGUAGACUUUAUUUAGAUCUUGAUUUGAAAAAACAGACUGCAAAUAUAUAUCUUUAUGACAUAGUUUGGGAAAUUAGAACACUGACUGGGUAUAUGAUAUUAGCCACAUAGUGUUUGUGGGGGUAUUCUGUUUUCAGGUGUGAUAAUGGUAUUUACAAAAUGACUCUAUGCCUGAGAUUUGCUUUAAAAUAAUGCAAUGGCCAGGAUGUGAGGGCAGUCUCCCCACACCCCCCAAAAAUUAUAACAUCCCAGGGGCUGGGGCUUGUUAAAUGAGACAAGAUUGAGUAUAUCAUAAAUACUGAAGCUGAGUAAUGGGAUAAAUAGGGGUUGAUUAAUUGAUGUUACAAUUCUAUUUUUCCUGUUUGAAAUUUUCCAUAAUAAAAUUUUAACAACUAACUGUUAAUUUUAAGAAGAGAAAUACUAUCUUUGGAACUAAGAUAUUAUUGGAAUUCUAUGCAAUAUCCCCAAAUAACAAGUUUAUAAUGAUUUGCUUGCCAGAUAAGUCAUUUUACUGAAUCAAGAGAGAUAGGAAAUUUACAGUAUAAAAUGGAAUUGGUUGGCACUAAGGAGGAUCCCUUUAGAAGAGAAGGUGUGUAAUUCAUUUUCCUUUCAUCACUCCCUCCCAGCCUGGAAUCUAAGAGCUGUUUUAGUUACGCAGAGCCUAUGUAAUUGGCUCAGCCUCUCAGAAUGCUGGAAAACUAUAAUCCUUUUCCCUCACUGAGGUCAUAAGACCGAAUUCUCAAACAGAAUUGACUAAGGAUUGUCUAAUCAAACUAGACUGACAGAACUAAGGACUGAUAAUACAAAUAGGUCUCGCCAUCUUCUGCAAGGAUGAUCUAACUGAAUCUGUCGGAAGGGGCAGGGCACAGCGCUUUCCUAAGGGGACCUCUGCUGUUCCCGUGGGCUAUUCCCCUGGCUGGCUGCUUCUCAGUCUUGUGCUUGCUGGAGAUACCACAACUUCAGUGGUUGUUCUUCUGAGGGCUGUACUUUCCUGCCCUGAAUCUCUUUCCUCUCUUGGAUUGAUGGGUUGAUAAAGCAAAAUUUCUGUCUCAUUCGCUCACUCGAUAACUCUGUGUUAUUCUCUUAGUACCACUUCUGGACAAAAAAACUCUUGCCUACUAGAAUCUAGACGUUUUAUUCCCCAAUAAACAGCUCUUUAAAAGGAUUUUGUACACUUUGCAACAUCUGUCCCAGUUGAUUCUGGAGAAUCUUGAUUGGAAUAGGUAUAUUAUUCAUUGAACAAACACUUAUACCUAAAGCACUUCACAUACAACAGGGAAUAAUUUAUGUGUGAAAUGGACUCACAUGAAUUCUAAUCUUCCUUCUGUGUUCUAGGGCAGAGCACAAACUUUCCCUCGGUUUCAGGUAUGCUUCUAGUAUUCUUCAGGGCUGCAGUCUUCCUCACACUCACCCUAUGUUGUAGGGUAGAACCCACCAUCCCUCUUCAUGUUACCAGAAUACAGUUCUACAGGGAACUUAGGAGCAACUUUCAAGAUGCUUUGUAUGUCCCAUCCAAGAAAUAUACCUACCUCUGUUGCUGUGGAGUCAAUUGAGACUUAUGGAGACACCAUGUGUUACAAAAUAAACUGUUCCAUGGGUUUUUCUUGGCUGUAAUCUUUACAAAAGCAGUUCACCAGGAAACCCUGGUGCCAUAGUGGUUAAGUGCUACGGCUGCUAAACAAAGGGUCGGCACUUCGAAUCCACCGGGCGCUCCUUAGAAACUCUAUGGGGCAGUUCUACCCUGUCCUAUAGGGUCGCUAUGAGUCGGAAUCAACUCGACGGCACUGGGUUUUCUGGGUAGUUCACCAGGCCACUGGGUGGGUUUAAACCGCCAGCCUUUAGGUUAAUAGCUCAUUGCAAACCACUUGCACCAUUAGGCUCCUUCUGUGAGGUAUAGAUGUGCACAUACAGAUUGGACCGUAUGCCAUUGUGCCUCAAGUCGGAGGUACAAAUUUAAUAGCUUUCAAAGAAGAAAUUACCUUGGUUUGGGAGGAGAAAAUUAGAAAAACUAUUCCUAAACUUUUGCUUUAAUAUCGUUUAACAGACUGUGGAUAAGUAUCAUUAGAGACCAUGAAAAGAAAGUGCUGCUUUAAUAGAUGAAAGUCCCGAUAGAAAUAGUAGGGGUGAAAGUGUCAGAAUGAGUAGGAGGUUUGCUGCAGAGACCAGUUCUUUAAAGACCUGUUUGGAGGAAGUAGUGAUGGUGGCAAUUUGGUCCUGAUCACCUAUAUAUACCCUUUUCGAAAAUAAAAAACUAAAUGGGUUGCAGUUGAUGCACAUGGUAAAGUUUAAUUCUAACCAAAAUUAUCUCAAGAAAUAUUCAUUGAAAAAAUUUUGAUUAGGAUUAGUCAGGAACCAUAUGAACAUUAAGUACCAGUCUCAGCCUUCCUCUUUAGUGUUGCCUACAACUACAUGUCCCACAGUCCACAUCACUUGCAGACCUACUGGUCACCUGGACACCAGACAAGAUUCAUAGUCAUGGGUGUUGCCACUUCAUUUGGAUACCGUACUGGCUUGGAGGUCAUCCCGUAUAAAGAAAGCUCUGGGAAGGUACCUCUGCUUCUUAAAGGCUCUGGAAAUUGUGGGAGGAAGUAGGGUGAGCCUGCUUUGUCUUUAGUCUUUAAUCUACUAUUUACCUAGUGUUUUGAUUUUGAAUGAUACGCAAGUUCCAUUGUUGAAGAACUUCAGGCAAACAUAUGAACUAUUAACCAAGCAGUAGGUUAAUUAGGACAAAGUGUCCAUCAUAGCCAUGGACUCUGCAUUAUGUGUUCUGGGCAACAGUGAAGGCUCACAUGCUUAAGUCAUGAGCAGUUUUUCAGCAUCACACCAACUGAACGAAUCCAAGAGAUCCAAUUUACUCAAAGCAGAAAUAAGAAUAAAGGUGUACUCAGAAUGAGAUUUAACAUGCAAAGAAUGAUUUUGGAAGUUGGGUGCCUCUGAGUUAAAGUAAUAAUUAGUAAUAGAAACGGAGUGGAAAAACUAAGAUGUGCUCUUCUACUGUAAUCUCAGAAAUAGGUAUAACAAAUACUUGAAGAACCAUUAUUUAGGAUAAAUGAGAGGAAACGAGUAAAAAGAAGGGAUAAAUAACAUUAAAAGGUGAAAAACAUCUUGAAAGUAAGAAUAGAGAGUUCAAGUAUUUAUCUCAGAAGGAAAAAUGUUAGCAAUAAGUAGCAAUAAAUCCUGCAAGCAAUGGUCUGCAGGUUGUGUUCUUCGUUCCUACAGGGGAAGAAGUGAGCUCAUUUUCAGCAUAAGUGACGUGAGUAUAUUUUAGAGGAAAGCCAGGAGACUUCCUUCCUGGGAAAAUGAAAAGAGUAGAAUAUUUAGAAGUCUUAAAUGGUGUCAUGGAUUGAAUUGUGUCCCCCCAAAUACAUGUAUCAAUUUGGCUAGGCCAUGAUUUCCAAUGUUGUAAAAUUUCCACCAUUUUGUCAUCAGAUGUAAUUCUCUUGUGUGUUGUAAAUCCUAUCACUAUGAAGUUAAUGAGAUGGAUUAGCACCAGUUAUGUUAAGGUCUAGAAUGGAUUGUGUCUUAAGACAAUCUCUUUUGAGAUAUAAAGGAGAGAAGCAAGCAGAGACACAGGGAGACCUCAUACCACCAAGAAAGCAGCAUUGGGAGCAGAGCACAUCCUUUGGACCGAGGGUUCCUGCAUGGAGAGGCUCCUAGUCCAGGGGAAGACUGAUGAUAAGGACCUCCCUUCAGAGCUGACAGAGAGAGAAAGCCUUCCCCUCGAGCUGACACCCUGGAUUUGGACUUGUAGCCUGCUAGACUGAGAGAAUGGAUUUCUCUUUGUUGAAGCCAUCCACUUGUAUUUCUGUUGUAGCAGCACUAGCUAACCAAGACAAAUGGCCUUCCAGCUCUAGGACUUUAGGAUCAAUUAAAACUAGUGGUUAUUUUUCUUGUAGAACACAGGUGAGAACUGCUGUCCACUGUUUUAGAGAAGUAUCUACUGGCUUUAUGGAGAGAAUAUUAAGUAUAUCUAGGAUUUAAAGGUAGGGGCCCAAAUUAAUAAAGGUCAUUUUGUGUCUUUUAUAACUCUUGAUUCCCUUUAGAGUUUUUAAAUUACUUUUCCAUACCAAAAUAUAUGUAGAAAAUUGCUAAUUUACAUUUUCAUACCUUGGUUCAUGUGAUUUUUCCCACCCUUUGUCAUACUUCACCUCAUCCUUUAAGCUUAAGCUCCAUCUUCCUCCAUGAAGCCUUCACUGACUACUCCAUAUUGAUUUCUGGAUUUCGAAAAGUAGCUCAGUCUCUACCAUGUAACUUAGUAUUUGUAAGAAAACUUAAGCUUUAAUUCAGGCCUGUGUUAUUCUUCAACUAGUUUAUAUGUUAUUGUCUUCCAAAGUAGACUGUAAGGUCUUCUAGAGCAGAGGAAAUUUGCUUAAUACUUUCAUCCUCCAAGAGUUGCCAGCGUGCUAAAUACUUGGUAACUUAUUCAUUUAGUUUGCAUGGCUGUGCAUGUGAAACCUAAAAAGAAACGUUUGCAGAGUAAAUACUUUGGUCUUAUGGAACAGAACAGUACUUAGAUGUGUUUAAAUCUGCUAUAUAAAAUGUCAGAAGUAAAAGCCACGACAUAUUCCCUUAAAGCAAAUUACAGCAAUAAUAAUCAUGCCUUCCAGCACCAAAGUCAAAUAACCUUAAUUUAUCAGCUACAUUGCCUACUACGUUAACUUGUUUUUUGAUAUUGCCUUUGCUUUAUUUACUACCUUAUAUCUUCCCAUGUAGCCGUAUUCCUUUCUCCUCUCCUGUCCAGCUAUCCCUACUCUUUCUUCCUUAGUUCGUUAGUCUGGUGUUUAAAUUUUAUGACUUGUUUUCAAGUAUUUUUUAAAGUUUUGAGUUGGGGAUAAAGUAUGUACUAUAUAAAUUCAGUAGAUAAAUACGUACACACAGAUCUCCCCUAAAUGAAAUGUGUUCCCUCAGAGUUAGCCAAUUCAUCAAUUAUAUGAUCAAGCCAUAAAAUUUGAAUCCAAGCAUUAAUUCUCCAAUUAAAGAAACUCUAGAGCCUAGUUUCCAGUCCUCCUAAAUUAUAACUUGUUGGCAACGAAAGCUGCCAUCCUUUGGUGUGAGUAAGCCUAAAUGUAAAAACUCCUCACCCAGCCUCAGAAGUUAGAAAGUAUGGGGGAAAUAUAAUUCAGGUGGACAUUUAUACACAGUAUUUGUGAAUACCAUUUGGGUCAAAUUACUAACAAAUGAGUUACUGUAAAGUGAAAUUUUAAAAAAUAAUAAACAUCCUCUUUAAAAUCUAAACCUAGCUAAAGAUGAGUGUGUAUUUUGACAGUAUGCUGGGGAAGAUAGAUUUUUCCAUGAUGAUUAUGUAGCUGGUAGCAAAAUAUUAGAACCUGCUUCAAUUCAAUGUCUUGUCUUCAGAAGACACGUCACAUUGACCUCCUCCAUGAAAUCUUCCUUGACAAGUGAAACCUGGCUCCAGUAAUUACUGUCUCUCUCUUUUUUUUUCCUUGAUUAACCCAGGUGUACAAAUUCUACACAGUGUUUCAAGCCACUCAAACAUAAUGUGGGCAAGACAGUUCAAAAACACCAAUUUAGUCAUUUAUAUGAUUUCUGGUUAGAAUUAGUAGUUCUCAUGUUUUAAUAGAAGUCCCUGGGUGGCGCAAAUGAUUAAAGUGCUCAGCUACUAACCAAAAGGUUGAUGGUUUGAAUCUACCCAGAGGCAUCUCAGAAGAAAGGCUUGGCAGUCUACUUCCAAAAGAUCACAGCCGUUGAAAAUUCUGUGGUGUGCAAUUCUACUAAGAAACACAUUGGGUUGCUGUGAGUUGGAAUUGGCUCAACAGCAAAUGGUUUGGGGUUUUGGGUUUUAACAUGAGUAUAAAGUGGAUGCAACAAAACCUGCAAAAGCUGGAACCUGUGUAAGGCGGAAACCGGUCAAGGAAGGAAAACUCAAAUAUUUUCCAUUAAUAGAGAACAACAGAAGUGUUACGACUACCAAAAAAAACCAAAACCUGUUGCUGUCAAGUCAAUUCUGACCCAUAGCGACCCUAGAGAACAGAGUAAAACUGCCCCAUAGGGUUUCCAAGGAGCAGCUGGUGGAUUUGAACUGCCAACCUUUUGGUUAGCAGCCAUAUCACUUAACUACUGCACCACCAGGGCUACACGCUGUGUCAUGGAUUGAAUUGUGUUCCCCAAAAAAUAACGUGUGUCAAUUUGGCCAGUCCAUGAUUCCCAGUAUUGUGUGAUUGUCCACCAUUUUGUCAUCUGAUGUGAUUUUCCUAUGUGUUGUAAAAUCCUACCUCUAUGAUGAUAAUGAGGUGGGAUAGACGGUAGUUACGUUAAUGAGGCAGUACUCAGUCUACAAAAUUGGAUUGUGUCUUGAGCCGAUCUCUUUUGAGAUAUAAAAGAAGCAAGCAGAGAGACAGGGGACCUCAUACCACCAAGAAAGAGCAUUGGGAGCAGAGCACGUCCUUUGGACCCAGGGUUCCUGUGCGGAGAUGCUGCUAGUCCAGGAAAAGAUUGAUGACAAGAACCUUCUUCCAGAGCCAACAGAGAAAGCCUUCUGGAGCUGAUCCCCUGAAUUUGGACUUCUAGCCUACUGAAUUGUGGGAGAAUAAACUGUUUUUUAAAGCCAUCCACUUGUGGUAUUUCUGUUACAGCAGCACUAGAUGACUAAGAUACCCUUUCAAAGGCAGAAAACUCAUGAGACCCAGAAAAAUAAGGCAGCCCAGUCAAGAACUGGCUCUCACAGGUUUCACUGUAUUUAAAAGUCAAAAUUGCAUCUCACACUUCAACAAUGGAAGUACAUUAUGUUUUGUAUUUCAUAGAGUGUUGAAGAUAUAAAUUUGAAAUAUUCUAUAGAAUCAGAAUUGUAUUCUAACACUCAUAUCUGUUUACUUGCCUGUUUCCCUGCCCUAGACUGUAUAAACCUUGAAAGCCAGGACUAUAUCUUGUUCACUUUUGAUCCCAUAGGCUCAACACUCGGUAGUAUUGGGAGAAUAAAUGAGUGAAAGAAAAAAUAGGUGCACAAGUUGAUUUAUAACAGUCCUCAUAAAUGCAUAUAUACCAUCAGUGAACAAUUGUUUUUUAAACUGUGUGCUAUACCCUUUCACAAUUUUCAUUAGAAAUAAAUACAUCAGUUAAAGUGUAUGUUUUCUUGAAUUAAGAUUACACUACUGUGUAGUUAGCAAUCUUUGUGAGGUGGUUUUUGGGGUGUGGAACAGAAUAAUGUUUUAAAGUCCAAAAACAUAAAAGAUAUU